CUUAGAGACAAGGAAAUGUUAGGAAUUUUCGUGAACUUCUCGUACGGGACGAGCUCUCUUCUCAACCAUUGGGUUGCGCUACUUUUAUCUAGUGCUCUAAUUUUCUUUAUCGAAUUUGUAAUUGAAGAUACAAGUUAUCUUUUUUUAUCUUUCAUCUCUGUUAUUAAGUCUUGAAGGUCAGCUUCGCAGUUUGGGUUUAGUGUUUUUUUGUAAUACUUGGACUUGGCAUAGAAGGUGUUUGACGAAAUGCCUCAGUGACUUGCUAUGAAACGAGUAGCCCAGAAUUUGUUUCUUUGCAUCUAGGGACCUCUUACUCUUGUUGGACUCAUGAGUUGCUUUGCUGGAAUUGUCAAAGGCUGAGAAAUCCUCUUACUUCCAUCACCUUAAAGCUUAAGUUGGGUUGGUGCUCUGGUUUUCACCAUGCACAUUUGUUGUUGGAAUUGCCAAGGGAUACGAAGUCCUCUCACUCUACCUAAUCUCAGGAAUAUCAUCUGGGAUAGCAAUCCAGGUUUGAUCUUCUUGAUGGAAACAAAAAAUGCUUACCAUGUGGUUAAAAAGAAGAUUGAAAAACUUGGAAAUUUCAAUUUGAAUUGCAUUAAUCCUAAAGGAACUGCUGGUGGUUUGUGUGCAGCCUGGAUUGAUGAUCUGAAACUUGAUAUUAUUACUGUUGACAAUUUUUUCUUCCAUUGUCAAAUCACAUAUUCUUAUUUGAAUGAUGAUUGGGACUUAAUUUUAAUAUAUGCAAAUUGUAAUGAUGAGAUUGAAGGAGCGGAAGCAUGAAAACAAUUAAAUUAGAAUAUUGAAUUCAAAAAUU
This 814-nucleotide unclassified non-coding RNA is filed under the name Hevea brasiliensis (rubber tree). The record is from RNAcentral. Lineage: Eukaryota; Viridiplantae; Streptophyta; Magnoliopsida; Malpighiales; Euphorbiaceae.